Molecule: long non-coding RNA, 4915 nt
Organism: Nicotiana tabacum (common tobacco)
Lineage: Eukaryota; Viridiplantae; Streptophyta; Magnoliopsida; Solanales; Solanaceae
Source: RefSeq, a predicted model, not a curated record
ACCAAAUACACCCUUAGAAGUCUAAGGUCUCGCUUUCUCUCGGCGCAUGAUAACUAACGUGCGCGUCCAUGGGGGAAAGAGAACGAGAAUCCCUUCGCCGAAGGCAAUCAAAGCUCUGGGAUCUGCUGCAAGUGGAGCUGGGCAGCAGAAAUCGAAAGGAACACCACCAAUUACUGUUAAUCGAGAGCAUGGGCGAAGGUACAUAGCCUUAAGGGUGGUCAACUGACACCCUUUGACAAAAUAUUAUAUUGUAUAUAUAGGUAAAAUAUUAGAUUUUAAUGGUAUAUAACAUAUAGUGAACACCCUUUAUCGGGGAUUUUUUACUUAUUUCAAGUUUAAACAUUUUAAAUAAAAUUUCUGCUUUCGCCACUGAUCGAGAGGAUGUACCGGAACAAACCAUUGAAAUAGAGCUAGGGCAAACUAUGGAAUUUGUGGAUACAAUUGAGCAAUCGGAGUGGAGGAAGGACUCACAAGCAUCGGGAAGUCAGAGUGAACUAUCAUGGGCAGACGAGGUGGAAGCAUUGGCAGAUUUGGAGAUGAAGGCAUCAAUUUGGGACAACUUUGAUAUAGCAAAUAGUGUCGAAUGCUGGUUUCAAGCUGAAAUUCGUUUCACCGGACAAACAUGGUGAGUCGUCCAUCUGUGAAAUUGAACUAGAAGAUAUAAGCACGGAAAUAGAAUACUGGAAAAAUGACAUAGUAUGCUACGUGUUAGGAGCUUACCCAUCAUUGUUUUGUAUUGAAUGGCUAUAUUCAGAAGAUUUAGGGAAAACAUGGAAUAAAUAAGGUCUUUAUGUUAAAGAAUGGUAUAGUACUGGUUUGGUUUGAUACUGCUAUUGGUAAAAAUGAUGUGAUCCAAGGAGGGAUAUAUCAUUUUGACAACAAACCAUUGAUUGUAAAAUUUUGGGAGCCAGAUACGAAGUUCACAAGGGAAGCACUAUAUACAGUCCCUAUUUGGGUGAAAUUGCCAGGAUUGAAUUUCAAAUACUGGAGUCUUAAGGGUCUGAGUAAAAUAGGGAGUCUUAUUAGAAAAGCUAUAAUGGUGGACCAUAACACAGAGAAAAAGAUGGGGUUGAAUUUCGCAAGAUUAUUGAUUGAAGUGGAAGUUGAUCCAAAUCUACCGGAUAAAGUAAUUUUCAGAAAUGAGAAAGGGAACCCGAUUGAGCAGAAGGUGCAAUAUUAUUGGAAACCUACCUUGUGUGCCUGUUGCCACAAAUAUGGGCACUCAGAGGAGGAAUGCAGGAAAAGGAAAAAUGAUCAGCCAGCUUCCCCAAAGCAUCAAAAAGGAAAAGAUUAGAUAGAAGAAGAUGUAAUCCCAGCAACUAAAGCUAAGCAGAGGACAACAGAUGGAAAUAAGGAAGAGGAAAAAGGGAAUACACAGAAGAUUACAGGGGACACAGAAGGAACUCGAGGCAAUGUAAAGAACCACCAGAACAUAGGAAGAACAGCUUGGGUGACACCUUAGAACACUAUCAAACAUCCACCAAAACAUCAUGAGCAGGAAGGAGGUCAACAGAAUUCAUCCAGAUAAUGGAUAGGCCAGAGCCUAACAAAGUGUUACCUAGGAGCCCACAUAGGAAAGGGGGAGGUACUGACUUACCUAUCUCAUAGGAAAAUAAUAAUAUUUUAUGGUGGAAUGUUAUGGGCCUCAAUGCCCCUAACAAACAAAAUGAGGUAAAACUCCUUUGUAGUAGAGAAGGAAUUGGUUUGGCAGGUCUAAUGGAGACCAAAAUAAAAGGAAACAAGAUUGAGCAAGUAGCUAAUAAAUUGUUUGGAGGAUGGGGGUCUAUGACUAACUUAGACUACCGUCCAAAUGGAAGAAUAUAGUUAGUAUGAAUUACAUGUGAAGUGGUGUAUAUAUCAUUACAAAAAAUAAUGAUGCUAACAGUGGUGUAUGCUUUCAACACUAAAGAGGAAAUAAGACCUUUAUGGAAUUAUUUAGAAGUAGUGGGUGCAAAUGUUAGUCAACCAUAGAUUAUAAUGGGAGACUUUAAUGUUGUAUUGUACAUGGAUGAUCGAAUUAGGGGCAAUCCAGUUAGUAUGGCGGAGGUUAAGGAAUUUCAUGAAUGUGUGGAGAACUGUGGACUCCUCGAAUUGCCUAAACAGGGGAGCAUGUAUACAUGGAAUGAUAAACAUGGUGGAAGUAGAUUUUUCUCAAAAAUUGACGGGAUAUUUGUGAACUCAGAAUGGUUGGAUAGUAUGCCUGACUUCAGCACUACUUUCCCGCCUGAGGAGAUUAGUGAUCAUAGUCCAAUGAAGUUAUCUUUGCCGAACUCCCCAAAGAAAAGAAGAAAACCAUUCAAAUAUUGUAAUGUGUGGUCUAGUCAUCCUUUAUUUCUAGAAAGGGUGAAAGUUGGAUGGAACUUGAGCAUAGAAGAAUGUCAAAUGAUGAGGAUAGUGAGGAAAAUGAAACCGUUGAAAAGUGAUAUGAGUAAGAUGAAUGGUCAACAUUUCAGAAAUAUACUCACCAAAGUGGAAGAUGAUAGGCAAGUUCUGAUGCAAGUUUAGUAAACACUACAAAAGGAUCCACAUAACCAAUAACUACAGCAAAAGGAAAAAGACGCACAUCAGAAAUUCAAAAGAUCCUCGUAUUUGGUUGAGCUAUUCCUGCAACAAGGGAGUAAGCCCACAUGGAUAAAAUUGGGAGAAGAUAAUACAAGGUAUUUCUUCUCCAUAAUUAAACAUAGGAAGCUGCAACAAGCUAUUAUCCAGUUAAGGGAAAAACAUGACAGGCUACAGUCAGACCAGGAAGUUGUUACUCAAAUACUAGUGGACUUCUAUAAAGACCUUCUGGGGGAAAAAGAAAAGGAAAUAACUAAUGCAUUUGGGAGUUUCUAAUGAAUGGAUAUGUUUUAUCUGUAGAGGAUCAGUUGAAAUUACUAAGACCUUAUACAGCUAAGGAUGUAAAGGAGGCAAUGUUUGGUAUUGAUAAAAAUAAAAGUUCGGGGCCAGAUGGCUAUGGAAGUGGAUUCUUCCAAGAUACUUGGAGUGUGGUAGGAGAGGAGGCAGUAGGAGCUGUACUGGAAUUUUUUGAGAAUGGAAAGCUACUAAAACAGAUCAACUCAACAUCAAUCACCCUGAUACCUAAGGUGGAGAUGCCAUAGAAUGCCAGCCAAUUUAGACCCAUAUCAUUGUUGCAAUGUCCUUUACAAAUGCAUAUCUAAAAUGAUCUGUGCAAGACUUAAGGACAUACUUCCACUGAUUGUGGAUAAGAAUCAGGAAGUAUUUGUUGAGGGUAGAUCACUCAUUCACAAUGUGCUUAUAUGCCAUGACCUCUUAAGAUACUACAGCAGAAAGAUAUCACUCAGGUAUCUUAUGAAGAUUGACUUGAGGAAAGCAUAUGAUAUGGUGAGUUGGGAUUUCAUUGAAGAAGCUUUGAAUGGAUUUGGGUUCCUUAGAUCAUUUACUCAAUUGAUCAUGACUUAUGUAACCUCUACAAAAUUCACAGUUAAGGUUAAUGGGGAAGGAUUUGGCUUCUUUGAAGGUAGAAAAGGACUGAGGCAAGAUGGUCUUUUGCAAAGGAAAUUUAGCAUCUAUAAGCAGAAUGAUGGGAGCACUAAACCACCUUAGUGCUGUGACAGGCUUGGUGGAAAACAUAGAGAAGUCAAACAUCUUUCUAGCUGGCAUGGAAGAGGAUGAACAGACUAGGAUCUUGCAGUAUACAGGAUUCUCAAAAGGGACACUGCCUAUUAGGUACUUGGGAUUGCCCCUUUCAUCUAAGAAGUAGAAUAAACUAGAGUGUUUUCAAUUGGUGGAAAAGAUAACAACAAGAAUAAAGCAAGUCUAUGCAAAGAACCUUUCCUAUGCUGGUAGAUUAUAAGUGAUCAAUGCAAUAUUGUUCUCUAUAUACAAUUUCUAGGGCGCAGUUUUCAUCUUGCCUCAAAGUGUAUUGAACGAGGUCGACAGGAAAUACAGAGAUUACCUAUGGGGGGCAAUGAGGAGAGAAGGAAAAUGGCAUUAGUUGCUUGGGACAAAGUGUGUGUGCAUAAAAAAUAUGGGGGGCUUAAUAUUAAAAGUUGCAGGAAAUGGAAUAUAGCAUAUGUGGGCAAACUGCCUUGGCAAGUGGCUGUGAAGAAAGAUGUGUUAUGGGUAAAAUGGGUAAAUGACGUAUAUUUGAAGACAAAUGGAGAUGUCCGGAAUCACACUCCCCCACGGGAUUGUAGCUGGUACUGGAAAAAAAAUAAUUUCCCUUAAAGAUAUGAUGAAGCAUUUGUAUCAGAAUGGUAAGCAUGUCCUGACCACUAAAGGUGAAUACUCUGUAAGCAGAAGCUAUUUAACUUUGCUAGGGAAUCCUACAAAAAUGAGUGUUGCAAAUCUGGUGUGGAGUGCUAUCAUGCUGCCUAAACAAAGAGUAAUUCUAUGGUUGGCAUAUCAAGAGAGGUUGCUAACAAAGGAAAGAUUGUAGAGACUACAAGUGCCUAAUGCCGAUAACAAAUGCAGCCUAUGUACAGCAAAUACUAGGGAAACACAGCUCCACUUAUUUACCACAUGUAAUUGGAUCACAAUGGUAAGAAAUGCUAUAACAAAUUGGGCGGGGAUUCAACUAGCACAAGCAGAUCCAGCAACUAGCAUAAGAUGGAUUAAGAGGAGGAGAUGGAAGAAAUUCAAGGAGGUAGCUGCUGCAAUUGUGAGAGCAACUAUAUACUAUACUUGGAAAGCAAGAAACUGAAAAAUAUUUAGAAACAUAGAUGUAAAUACAGAUUUUGUAAUAGGGCAGAUACAAAGAGAGAUUAGGGAAAGGAUAGAAUAGAUAGGGAAUAUAAAGAGAGCUACGAAAUGUUAGAGUUUGAUACAAAGGAUUUGUAACUAGUGUUUGUUUGUUUGUUUGUUGUUUCGGAGAUUCAGAGAUUGUAACACUUCCUAGGAGGUGGUUAUAAUACUGAUCGCUCCAACAGGUUGUAAAGAAUCAUUUGGUUUA